RNAcentral lists this ribosomal RNA (505 nucleotides) under uncultured bacterium. RNAcentral's name for it is "bacterial SSU rRNA". It matches the Rfam family "Bacterial small subunit ribosomal RNA", at positions 28 to 526 of the family's 1533-position model. The record is from RNAcentral.
GACGAACGCUGGCGGCGUGGAUUAGGCAUGCAAGUCGAACGGUAUCAUCCUUUCGGGGGUGAGAGAGUGGCGAACUGGUGAGUAACACGUAGGUUAUCUACCCUCAAGACGGGGACAACCCAGGGAAACUUGGGCUAAUACCGGAUGUGAGCAACUUUUAGUUGUUUGAAAGGUGGCGUAAGCUGUCGCUUGGGGAUGAGCCUGCGUCCUAUUAGUUAGUUGGUGAGGUAACGGCUCACCUAGGCAAUGAUAGGUAGGCGGCCUUAACGGGUGGUCGCCCACACUGGGAUUGAGAUACGGCCCAGACUCCUACGGGAGGCAGCAGUCGAGAAUAGUCUACAAUGGUCGGAAGACUGAUAGUGCGACGCCGCGUGAACGAUGAAUCCCUUCGGGGUGUAAAGUUCUUUUAUAUGUGAGCAGUGCUUCUUAUAUUAACAGUAUGGGGAGAGAGAUAUUAGCAUAUGAAUAAGCAACGGCUAACUCGUGCCAGCAGCCGCGGUAAUCA